This 744-nucleotide ribosomal RNA is filed under the name Enterococcus faecalis. RNAcentral's name for it is "bacterial SSU rRNA". It matches the Rfam family "Bacterial small subunit ribosomal RNA", at positions 23 to 738 of the family's 1533-position model. The record is from RNAcentral. Lineage: Bacteria; Bacillati; Bacillota; Bacilli; Lactobacillales; Enterococcaceae.
CUCAGGACGAACGCUGGCGGCGUGCCUAAUACAUGCAAGUCGAACGCUUCUUUCCUCCCGAGUGCUUGCACUCAAUUGGAAAGAGGAGUGGCGGACGGGUGAGUAACACGUGGGUAACCUACCCAUCAGAGGGGGAUAACACUUGGAAACAGGUGCUAAUACCGCAUAACAGUUUAUGCCGCAUGGCAUAAGAGUGAAAGGCGCUUUCGGGUGUCGCUGAUGGAUGGACCCGCGGUGCAUUAGCUAGUUGGUGAGGUAACGGCUCACCAAGGCCACGAUGCAUAGCCGACCUGAGAGGGUGAUCGGCCACACUGGGACUGAGACACGGCCCAGACUCCUACGGGAGGCAGCAGUAGGGAAUCUUCGGCAAUGGACGAAAGUCUGACCGAGCAACGCCGCGUGAGUGAAGAAGGUUUUCGGAUCGUAAAACUCUGUUGUUAGAGAAGAACAAGGACGUUAGUAACUGAACGUCCCCUGACGGUAUCUAACCAGAAAGCCACGGCUAACUACGUGCCAGCAGCCGCGGUAAUACGUAGGUGGCAAGCGUUGUCCGGAUUUAUUGGGCGUAAAGCGAGCGCAGGCGGUUUCUUAAGUCUGAUGUGAAAGCCCCCGGCUCAACCGGGGAGGGUCAUUGGAAACUGGGAGACUUGAGUGCAGAAGAGGAGAGUGGAAUUCCAUGUGUAGCGGUGAAAUGCGUAGAUAUAUGGAGGAACACCAGUGGCGAAGGCGGCUCUCUGGUCUGUA